UUGUUUUCCUGGCGUAUGUAUGUUUGUAUGUCAUGAGGGAGUGCACUGACAUGCCAAUUCUCCUGCAGGAUCUAUGAUGGUGGUGAAGCAUGAGGAUGCACAUGAGAUGGAGGGAAAUGGCAUGGAAAGCACGUGACAAUAAGUGUAAAGGAAAGAAUAUGACUUGUAAUUUUUGGUUUUUUCUUUUGAUGUAAUUGGAUAUUAG
Molecule: long non-coding RNA, 205 nt
Filed under: Lathyrus oleraceus (garden pea)
Lineage: Eukaryota; Viridiplantae; Streptophyta; Magnoliopsida; Fabales; Fabaceae
Description: Pisum sativum (pea) long non-coding RNA (PSAT_LNC016417)
Source: RNAcentral